RNAcentral lists this ribosomal RNA (430 nucleotides) under Brucella melitensis. RNAcentral's name for it is "partial 16S ribosomal RNA". It matches the Rfam family "Bacterial small subunit ribosomal RNA", at positions 355 to 776 of the family's 1533-position model. RNAcentral also lists the same sequence under 7 other names. The record is from RNAcentral. Lineage: Bacteria; Pseudomonadati; Pseudomonadota; Alphaproteobacteria; Hyphomicrobiales; Brucellaceae.
UGGGGAAUAUUGGACAAUGGGCGAAAGCCUGAUCCAGCCAUGCCGCGUGUGUGAAGAAGGCCUUUUGGUUGUAAAGCACUUUAAGCGAGGAGGAGGCUACUUAGAUUAAUACUCUAGGAUAGUGGACGUUACUCGCAGAAUAAGCACCGGCUAACUCUGUGCCAGCAGCCGCGGUAAUACAGAGGGUGCGAGCGUUAAUCGGAUUUACUGGGCGUAAAGCGUGCGUAGGCGGCUUUUUAAGUCGGAUGUGAAAUCCCUGAGCUUAACUUAGGAAUUGCAUUCGAUACUGGGAAGCUAGAGUAUGGGAGAGGAUGGUAGAAUUCCAGGUGUAGCGGUGAAAUGCGUAGAGAUCUGGAGGAAUACCGAUGGCGAAGGCAGCCAUCUGGCCUAAUACUGACGCUGAGGUACGAAAGCAUGGGGAGCAAACAGG